This 48-nucleotide transfer RNA is filed under the name Lupinus cosentinii (West Australian blue lupin). RNAcentral's name for it is "partial tRNA-Leu". Lineage: Eukaryota; Viridiplantae; Streptophyta; Magnoliopsida; Fabales; Fabaceae. The record is from RNAcentral. RNAcentral also lists the same sequence under 2 other names.
AGAGUAAGAGGAAAAUCCGUCGACUUUAUAAAUCGUGAGGGUUCAAGU